Columba livia (rock pigeon) is the source of this 22576-nucleotide long non-coding RNA. RefSeq lists it as uncharacterized. NCBI's taxonomy places the organism in Eukaryota, Metazoa, Chordata, Aves, Columbiformes, Columbidae. The transcript has 2 exons. The record is from RefSeq and is a predicted model, not a curated record.
UGUUUUCUUUUUUUUUUUUUUGCAAGUUAUUCCUAGUGAAAUAACUCACUGGGAUUAGUGUGGAAGCAAAUACUGCUAAGCUAUCUCUCUAAAAGCCAGGCAAAUCUGCUCGCUCGGUUCCUUUUGCCCCCGGCCCAGCACCCAUUUGCUGUGCACAGCUUGAUUUUUACAUUACACCAAAGUUUUGCAAUCAAAUCUGAUAUUAAACUCCUUGUUUAUGUCGAAUGCAAUUUUGCUGUGUGAUUAGUUUAUCUCCUUGAGCUUCUGAGGAAAAAAAACAUCGUACUGUAUAUACACAUAGAAAUAAGGGUAUAACUUGAGUCUUUUAACCCACUUUCUGCCAGAAUUAAUUGGUUCUCCACAGAGUGAGGCAUGUGCAUGAUAGAGUUUAGGAUCUAAAGAAACAAGCAAUAAAUACCCUUGUUGAGAGGACUCGUGUGUCUGGGAGUGCAGAACUCCCCCAGCUCCCCGGUGGGGUUGGCGUCUGUGAGAACUCCAUUUGCGAGCAGCUGCCGUCACUUAGAGGUAAAUGGUUUGAAACAGUAUUUUUCCAUUUCUCACUUGGCGCUGCUUGUUUUGAUCAUGAUAUAAACAGAUAGCUUAAGAAAGCGCUGAAGUAGAGCUUCUCAAAUUAAUACCCAGCUGGCAAAGUAUGUGAUCUGAAGCAAAAUUUGUCACAUUUUGGAUGCAUAUAUUAAAGCUGAGGCUUGCUGGUAUGUUUGCAGGAUGAUUAAUAUUUACAACUCAUUGCAAAGUGAUUAUCCAUUUACCAUUUUAACAUAAUUUUAUGAAAUGCUUCCAGUUAAAAAAGAAGCAGAAUUGACAGCAGCGUGUAACUUCUGUACAGCUGGAACUCGUCUGUGCACCCAGAAAUCCAGUGGUUCCCCAGAUCCCUGGUACCUUCCAGCACCUUUCAGCAAAGCCCUUUCUCAACCAUAUGCAUUGGAGAGAAAUCGUUGUGUGUCUUAGUAAACCAUGGUUAGGGACAUAGCUUAUACAUUUUAAUGUUCAAGCCAGGACAGCAAAUUAGGUGGUGCGGGUUUUUUUUUUUUGGUGUAAUUUAUUUAUUUUUCAGCUCAGUAACUCAGGAGUUUUGAAAAGCGCUGUGAUACCAGGAAUCCACUCCAAAAUGCUUUCCAGAGAAACUAAUAAAUUUAAACUAUCUUGACAAGCACAGCAAUCUUUUCAUGCUUUAAUGAGACAGAGUUGCUCUUCUCCAUUCAUUGUGAAGAUUAAAUAAAACCUGCUUUCUUUUACGCUUACUCUAGCCAAGCUUUUCCUUUCUUUUGUCUGCUUGUUCCCUUUGUUUUCUAGCUCAUUUUAAGUUUAUUUUUCAUUGGGAAAUAUCUUUUUCCAAUCUCGGUGUUAUUUCAGAAGAGCAGACCAUGGAUGGGGAGCGUGCUGGUCACCUCACCAGAGAGACAGGAACAGCAGCUUGGAGGGCAAACAAUAAAGCAAGAGACCCUCAUCCUGCAUCGCCCAUGCACCCCGGGCAAAUGCUUGUGCACCAUGCAGGAUGGUUUAUAAGGGAGCAUUUAGCAUGAUUCCACAGGGCAAUAUCAACACUUCACCCCCCUCUUUUUAUAAUUCUUUUGCUAUUUUCCCAACAAGUGAGCAUCCCAUCCCGACUCUUUUUGCUAACAUCAAUUCUGGGAAAUACCAGAGUAUGACAACAUUGUGUGUGUUUAACCACUGGCUUUGCAGGUGCUCCAGCUUUGUGGGUAAAUCCCAUUUCCCAGACCUGGAGGCACUGGGGUGUCACACCAAAUAUUCCACCUGGGGAAGAAAAUGGAGCCAUGGUAGCUGGUUCCCUUCCUUCCCUCUGCCAGAAGGAGUUAUUUGGGAUGGGACACCUGUGAAGUCAGAGGUGGCAGCUGGAGGUACAUGAGUGACAUUGAUAUGCUGGAGCGAGUGGAGAGAAGGGAAUGGAGCUGGUGAGGGGCUGGAGCACAAGUGUGAUGGAGCGGCUGAGGGACCUGGGGGGUUCAGCUGGAGAACAGGAGCUGAGGGGAGACCUUCUGAUCUCUGAACUGCCUGAAAGGAGCUUGGAGCCAGGGGGGUCGGGCUCUGCUCCCCAGGAACAAGCACCAGGAGCAGAGGAAACAGCCUCAAGUUGCCCAGGGGAGGGUGAGGUUGGAUUUAGGAACAAUUUCUUCCCCAAAGGGCUGUGGGGCAUUGGAACAGGCUGCCCAGGGCAGUGCUGGAGUCACCAUCCCUGGAGGGCUGGACAGACGGACAUGAGGUUCUCAAGGACAUGGUGCAGUGCUGGGGUGGGUUAUGGUUGGACUCAAUGAUCUUGAUCCAACCAAGAUGAUUCUAUGAGCCUAUGAGCUAUGACUGACCAUGCAUGAUGGUAUUUUUCUUCUAUGCUGCGUUCUCCACCGCUGCUGGGAGCAUCACCACUCACAGCAAAGAGAAGAGCAGGUGAUGACAGUGAUGCAAGAAGAGCAUCUUCUCAAAGGGUGUGUGAGCUCCCUUGGGAACUGGGUUUGCAGGAUCAUGUGUCAGGGGGAUUCUGUGCUCAACCUCUCUGCUCGGCACAGGCUGUCGCUUUGGGGUCCCCCUGGGGCAGCAGCUGACCCUGUCCUGCAGCAUCGCAGCCAUGCUGGGAGGUGGCCCCGCCAUAACCCAACACCCAGCAAGCUGAGAUAUUCCAGGUAAAAAAGUGGGCUCUGCUACAUUGUACUACUGAGCCUUGAUCUUGGCAUAAUUUCUGUCAAAACGCUUGCUGGUAAUUACAUAUUGAACUACCUCGAUUCUGAGAAACUAAUUAAUGCAGGGCGGUGCCACACAGUCUCAGAAAAGCACAAAAAGCUGCGUUUUGCGUGGCCCCAGGGGAGUUUUGCAAUGCAGCACCGAGGCAGAGCCGGCUGGGGUGGGGCAGGCCCAGCAGACGCUGGUGCCUCCUGCACCCCACGAUUCCUGACAUUGGAAAGGAGGAAAACAACACUCCCGGUUUACUGAAUCCGUGAGUUCUCGUGGAUACAGGGAACAAAGCAUUUCAUCUAUAGAGCCAGUACAGAAACCACAUCUGACCCCAACUUCUCUAUAUUAAUACUUUCUCAGGUAAAAUGUCAAAAUGAAACACACAGUAACUUUUUUUCUGUGAUGAAUACAAAAUGCAUUUUAGUGAAAUUUUGUAAGCACAAGAAAGAAAAUUCAAUUCCUGAAUUCCAGAUAUUAGAAAGUUUUGCUUUAUGUAUAGUAACUUGCCGGUUAUUACUGUAGAAUAUUUCUUCUCUGCUUUAUAAAGUUUGAUGGUUCAGUGAAGUUUACAGUAGAGCUGAGGAACUGGAUGUCUCAUGACCAGACCACAUGUUCCUCCAAGCAGGUUCCAGGGGACUCCAUCUCCAGCACAAAAUGCUGGGAGAAUCCUGCUUUGAAAAGCCAGCUGAACUAUCUCCUGCUUCUCACUGCAUGCCUUUUGGUAAUGAUGUGAAUGUGAAACCUGAGAAAGCAUAGGCAUCUUUGAAACCAUAAAGACUAUGGGGCUGUGGCAUCUAUCCUGCCCCUCUCAUUUAUUAUUGAUUUCAGGCUUUUUGCGUGUGUGUGGCGAUGUCUCAGCUGAGGGUGAACCCUGUCAUGGACGUGAUGUGGGUGUAAAGGUGUUUUUUCUAUAUAUUGAAAAGCCAAGCAGAGAACUGUUCUGCACAUUGGUCUGCACACUUUGCUCAGAGAUUAACGUUUCCAACACAAACUGAGUGAGCAGCCUUCCUUCUUGGAAUGAGAGGCUGGUGGAGGAUGGAUACCCUGAGUAUGGGUACUAUUCCUUAAGGCUCAGGAUUUCCAUGCAUGUUAAGAUACAAAAGGAGAAAAAGGUAAAUGCUAAAGCCUGUGGAAAUGCCAGUUGCUGCGGACUAUUGCUCCCCAAGCUGCUGGGAGGUGGGAAGGAGGGACAGGAUGUGCCCUGGUGAGAUGUUAAUCCAGAGCAACCAGCAGCCUCUGCUGUGUGUUGGUGCCAAUGGGGGCAUCAGGCUGGGGCUCAUCUGGGUGACACAGUGAGGGGUCCCCUGUCACUGCCACCCUCGCAGGGGCUGCUGGCUGGGAGCGAUGGGUGCGCUGAGCCGCAUCCUCACUGCGGGAUGCUCGAGGGAGAGCUGGGGAGGCGAGGCUGGUGGCAGGACUGGGACCUUCUUCAUCCUCUCCGGAGUCUUGAGACUAAAACAACCUGAAGAUGGAAAGCUGUGGGGUUUUGUUUGCAAGCAAGCAGACUCCUCUUUGUGAACAGCGGUGCAAGUCACAUAACUGAACCAUUCCUGGGUGGGAUGCUGGAGGUGAAAUGGGAUCUUUUUAGGCAUCCCAUCUCAGGAAAACUGUGCAGAUUUGGGUCAAGAGGUUCCCCUCUCCUGUGGGAGCCUUCAGGUCCCAGCGUGGCGCUGCAGCAGUGACACACCAUGGUGUCAAACGUGGCAGCAGCCAGAUGCCCUGGACUGUCCCCAUUGUGGGGCUGGAGCUGGCUCCUGGUCCUCCCUUGCUCCUCUUCGUGUUGGAUAUUCAUUUCUUUCCAUUUCCUAAUUAUGCUGCUUAGUGUAGGUCCUCUAUUUAGCCAGACAAUUAUUUAAUCUGAACAGAACAUACAAAUGUGUGAACUUUUUGAAAGUUUUGUUUUGUUUGUCUGUGUUUUAUGCUCGUGUGGUUUUUGUUUUUUUAGAUGACCUUGGUAGGCCACCUCUUGUUACCUCUGAGGAUCCUGCUUAAUCUAAAUCAAACAUCUUGAAUAUGUAACAAAGAAGAAUCAAUCUUUUUUUUUACAUUAACUGUAGCUCAGAUGCUGUGUGGUCUGAUGCAUCCAGACUGGGUGGUAAUAAGUUCACUUCUUUUGAUUUCCUGGGCUCAUAAGAAACUUCUUUACUUUGCUAAGAACCUUCUUUGCUGUGAGGCGCCAGAGCCCUGGACCAGGAGUCUCCUUCUCUGGAGACACUUGGAGAUGCGCAUGGUGAGAGGUCCAUGGGUGCUGUUGCCAGCUCACUCCCUGCUUGCUGGCUUCAUGCUGUUUUCAUGUUAAUUUGCAAAUGACAAGUGAGCCUUCCUGCUGUGCCUGCUUUUCAGAAUUGAUAUUAAUCAAUCCAAGGCACAAACAAAACAAUUAAAAAUCAAUAGCUGUGCAGCUAUUAGAGAGCAAAAUUUCAUUAAGGUUAAUAAUUGCGGGAAUUAGGGAACUAAUCAGCCAUAGGGAUCUCCAGAAGAAGCCACCCCAGGCUCUGUUCUCCAUCCAGCCUGCCCUGACCCUGCCAAACAUUUAGAAUAAGUUACUUGCUAUUAUUUUGUAGCUAAUAGUCAUGAUAAGGAUUGAAAAUCAGGCUUGUAGCUAAUAACUCAUGUACUUGGCAAUAAUCUCUUUGUAGAAUAAAUGCAAGCAGCAUGUGGCACAGGACUGUGCUGGAAAGGCGGAGCCGCCUGUCCUGGGUCUGUCUCUCUGUGCCAUAAGAGGUAUUUUUUCCAUAAAACCAGCUUUCAGGCACUUAUCUUUGUAAAUUCACUUUAGUAGUGCUUGUCUUUGGCUUGAAAACCACGAGCUGAUAGCCCUAAGGCAGCACUUCAAGACCACAAGAGUACAAGUAAUGAGUUCAAGUGAGGAAAAAGGAAAUGAAAAUCUGAACACAAAGGACAGAUUUUUGUCAAAACUCCACUCUCUGGUGAGGUCAGCAGAAUGACUUAACAUAGAACCAUAACAGACUUUGUUUUAGAUUUGCAUGCAAAUAUCCUAUUUAUUUGUUUUUGUGGACCCUGACACGCUUUAAGGAACCCCUGGGAUCGUAGGGAAUUACAGGGAGUGUGAUGGGGCACUGCUACUGGAGACAAAACACACAAUAUCCAGGCUGAAUGAUACGAGAGGAAAUACUGAUGAAAGGCACAGAUCAAGGAGAAAUAAAAUAAUAGGAUAGUAGUUAGCCUACACUAACAUGCUGCCGUACUUGAUGAACUCUGCUCCUGGCAGCCGACCUGCCCCCGACAGGGCUCACUGGGUAAAUGUAUAAUCAGACUUGGAUGUUUUAUUAUGUGCAAAUGUAUAAUUGGGCUUGUAUUUUUAUUAUGUGUAAAUAUAUAAUCAGGCAUAUUUUUUUAUUAUAGGUAAAUAUGAAAUUGGACUUGUGAUUUUUUUUUUUUUUUUUUUUUUUUCAGUUUUCAUACACGAAGACGCUGGAGGGAGUGGAGCAUCUCCCGUGUGAGGAAAGGCUGAGGGAGCUGGGGCUCUGGAGCUGGACAAGAGGACACUGAGGGGGGACUCAUUCAUGGCGAUCAAUAUGGAAAGGGGGAGUGUCAGGAGGAUGGAGCCAGGCUCUUCUCGGUGACAGCCAGUGACAGGACAAGGGGCAAUGGGUUCAAACUGGAACACAAGAGGUUCCAAUUAAACUUGAGAUGAAACUUGUUUGGGGUGAGGGUGGCAGAGCCUGGCCCAGGCUGCCCAGGGGGUUGUGGAGUCUCCUUCUCUGCAGACAUUCCAACCCGCCUGGACACCUUCCUGUGUAACCUCAUCUGGGUGUUCCUGCUCCAUGGGGGGAUUGCACUGGGUGAGCUUUCGAGGUCUCUUCCAAUCCCUGAUAUUCUGUGAUUUUGUGAAAUAGCGCAUGCCUAAUAAAGAUUUCUGUCCCAGAAGAUGAGACGUGAGCCCUAGCGAAGUCUCUAAGGAGCCCAUGGCCACCAUGCAGAUGUUGCCCUGACACGUGCACAGGUUUUGCUUGGGAGCACCAGGACAUGGCAAAAGUGUCUCAUCCCCUGGGAUAUUUGCAGCCAAGAUGUGGUGAGAGGAGCAAACAUUGAGAGCAGGAAUAGCAGGUACGUCCCCUCUUGUGCUCACCCUCGGGGUUUGGGGCUGGGGAGCAGCGUGUGGAGGGCACAGACACUUGGAUGAAUCCUGCAUCAGUCAUUUUCAGAAAAGUUAUGAAUUAUAUCUAAUGAUAUAGUUGUCAGUCAAAUCCAGACUGUGUGUGUGGUUUUGGUUUGGUUUUUAGUUUUUUAUUUUGUUGUAGUUUGUGUUAUUUUUCUCUUUAAUUAAAGUUAGCUAGAGAGCUUGUUUUAAAAUCAGGUAGGGUGGCUGAAAUUCAAUAUACUCAUCAGAAAAACAGCAAUCAUAGAAUCACAAAUGGUUUGUGCUGAAGGGCCCUUCCCAGCUCCCCAGUGCCCCCCCUGCCAUGAGCAGGGACAUCUUCACCAGCUCAGGUUGCUCAGAGCCCCGUCCAGCCUGGCCUGGGAUGUCUCCAGGGAUGGUUCAUCUACCACCUCUCUGGCCAACCUGGGCCAGGCUCUCACCACCCUCAGGGCCAACAAUUUCUUCCUCAUGUCCAGCCUGAAUCUCCUUCCUUUAGUUUAAACCAUCACCCCUUGUCCUAUCGCAACAGACGCUGCUGAAAAGUCUGUACCUGUUUAAUUUUAUUAAUUUUUAUAUUAUACAUCAUCUGUUUUCCCUGUUGAUUGAUAACAAAGGAAUGUAAAAGCAAUUUAUAAGGCUAAUCAUUUCUAAGUAACUGGUGUUUUUAAAAAGACAAAACAUGGGCCAUACAACUUAUAAAUAAGAAAUAAUUAUCUUUUAUAAACUCCAAUGGAGUGUGUGCGCCAAUGUGCAUUUGUGCUUGGGCAACAAUCUGCUCUGAAUCUUCCCUCCAGGAAUGCAGAAUCCCUUGGUGCUGGGGCUGGAACAGGUCUCCAUCGCUUUCAGAUAAAAUGAUCAAACUGUUUUGCUUUGGCAUGAAUAACUUUGAUUAUAAGCAAUGGAAUAGCCUGCGACACCGUUUCCCUCUGCAUCUGCAGCCCCUCGCACUUUAGCUGUGCUGCCAGUUGCUGCAGGACACAAGUGUGUGUAUUUUCACAUCGGGCUUGUAGAGAGAACUUACACAUGUGAAUCUUGUAAAAGAAGCAAAAAGAUAAUUUAUGUUUAAAACUAAAAGGUUGAAAUGGAUUUUGUGUAUACUUCUGUACAAGUAAUUAUAAAUUUGAAAGCAUGUAUUUUCAUGUAGAGAUGCCAGUCAUAUGCUGCUUCUUUUUUUUGUUACUGGAUUCAUCAGCACUUUUACGUUUUGGCUGUGAUUUUAGUACUGAAAGCCAAUGUGAGUGAACAAACCCUCUCCCCUUAUAACAACAGCCAAGCAAAAUGGUUCACAUGUCCCAGAUAAGCUCUGGGUGUGUGUCUUGCUCUGGAAAUGUAAUUCCUGAAGGUUGCCGGCACCAGGCAAGCUCAGCUUCCCAACAGAAAGCAUGUUAAUUUCUCCCCAGCUGACUCUAUGCAAUUCAUCCUGGUUCUGCCCUUGACUAGUUUGUCUUUUCCUCUUCUGAAUAAAUGAAAACAUGAAAACACACAAGGGAAUCAUCCACCCAGGCCGUUGGGUUGCUGCGAUGCUCACAGGUUCGUGUACACUUGCAUUGCUUCUCUGGAUGUGGCCCUGCGAUUUCAAAUUGAUAAGUGAUCUAAUUUUGACUGUACUAAUCUUCCUAGAUCAGUUGAUAGGCUUAAAGAGUUGCUGAUGUUAGGCAGACAGAAAGAAACAAAAGUCUUUUGCACAGUUAGAAUUGCCAAGGAAACCAUUCUGCUGGUAUCUAAUGUUGGUAUUUCAGUUUUUCCCUUGUGUGACUGUUGGAAAACUGACUCUAGAACAGAAACGCUUCCAGUCUGAGUGCAUCGUCACUCAGCGUCUUUGUCAUUUGCUAUCAGUAUACCCAAGAGCUUUUGCCAUCCUUCUGAAGUUCGUUGGGCUUGCCGGUUUUAUUUCUAGAAAUGCAUGCAGCUAAAUUUAAAAAUAUGAUACUUGAUGGAAAACCAUGCAUUAAAGGAUUGCCCGUAUCUAAAAUGUUUCCCAGUCAUCUCAUGUUUUCUAAAAUAAUUUGUUAACUAAAUUUUAGUCUUUAUUUUAAACUAGGUCACCUUUAAGAAUUUUUAGUGCUUGAAAUCCGAUUUGUAGUGCUUGAACCAAAUCAAAUACCAGUUGGACUCCAUUUAAAAAUGAGUUUAUUUCUGGUAAAAGCGGAUUUUCUGAAGCAGAGCAGUAUGUUUGACUUGUGGUACUAAACUACAAACAACAGCUUUCCUAUCGUCCAGGUAAACUUCACGUUGCUUGACUGUUCUGUUGGAUACCUGUUAUUUCUAUUAAUCCUUAUUUUUUUUCAGAGUAUAUUUCAAAAUGAAGUUUUCUAAAGUCUUAGGAAGACUGAUGGAAUAAGAACACAACCACACAACCACUCUUUAAAGCAAAGAGGCUGGGGCUGUGAGUUCACCCGAUGGUCUUUAGCACCGAAGUGAGUUUUCUGGCCAUGGCAGCCUGAAUGGGACUGGUUUAUGAUAAUUUCAAGAUGUUUUAUAUGCUAGAAAUACCUGGCCUAUGGCUUUUUGCUUUCCACAUGAACAUGACCUAGGGGAUAUCAGGUGCAUUGCACCAUUGCAAAAUGAAGCCCUAAUCCAAAAAGCAGCUUAAUCCUGUGUUCUCGUUUAGGGCCCAGCUAGUCCUGGCUCAGAUGGAGCUGAGCCUGAGCUCAGGGAGCAUCCUGACAGAUGUAACUUUGAUUUUAAUGCUUUUCAGAAAUAACUCCUUUUUCAUUCCUGUGUCUGUACAUGUGCUAAUGAGCUUGUGGUUUGAAUCAGCUUCUGAUUUGUGACUUUUAAUUUAGCUUACAAUAGGCUAUCUGUGAGGCUUUGUAUUUGAGGAUAUAAUUCAGUAUAAUUAUUCCACGGAAGUUUUGAGGAAGCUGUACUCACAGCCAAGACAGCAUCUCCAUUCUUCUUUCACUGCUAAUCAGUUUAUAUGAGCCUUUCCUAUUCACAGCUUUGACCAUACUGAAUUUUUCUGAAACAAGCACUUCAUCCAUGGUUAUCAGACAGCAACAUGCCUGACAAAUGACAUUAUGUUCAGCAAAAAGCCUCAGGAAGCACAGAUUGGCCACCUCUUUCCCUCAGAGAACUGGACAAUAGAGGCUUUUUGUUACUGUUCAUUUUUCUUCUGUCAUAAGAUCUUCUAUCUUCUAUUUUUCUCUUCUAUAUCCUGGACGUUUUCUAAUCCUUUUCUGAAGACCAUACAAUAGUAGGUUAUUUUUCAGUUUAAAAUGAGAUAUGACUAAAGCCUCCAGUCUGCCCCAAACCUCCGUUCUUUUCCUUUCUUUUCUAUUUAAACUCAAUUCACACAGUAGCCACAGGAAACUCAUUUACAUGUUCAGAACCUGGAGAAAAAUCCCUGGCAGGUCCUCGCCUAGCACCGGCUCCUAUUGAUGCUCAGGUUGCAUUUCCCGAGGAUGGUACCUCUCUUAUUCCGAAAUAAUAAUAAAAAUUAGAUGUGAAAAUUAUUUAAAGAGAGACUGAAAGCUCUCUCCCCCCCUCACCCCCCCCAAGGGAAAGUGCACUUUCCCUUGGUGUGAGGAUAAAAGGUGUGGAUGACAGCAAGCAGAAAAUAUAUUCCCAAUGAUCAUCCUUGGCACUGGAUGGAGGAGUGUGGUCUCUGAGUUAUAGUUGUCAUUACCCCAGUUCCUACAGAUUAUACAUCCAGAGAGGAAGUCAUUUUCAAAAUGGAAAUAUUGGCAUUUGUGCUGAAACGUGGCAGGGAGCUUACUGAAAUAGGAGGUGUUCUAUUAAUAUUAUGAGUUAUUAUCGUCCUGCACUAAGCUUUGAAAGCCUGACACCUUCCCUGUGCUGAUAGGAGGCAGAGGUGGGUUCCAGAGGUGAUUAUAUCACCUUAUAGAGAAUGUUUGGUGUCAUAGAUGCAACAUGUUUGCUUCUAGGUCCUGACUUUCCCAUAAGCAAAAAUCAACAUGAUGCAACCUGCUUGGACCAAGAGUUUAGCUUUAAAGCUUUUCUAUGUCCAUUUCUACCUCUCCAAGCAUGAAGGAGCAGAAACCCAAUGGCAACAGCACUGAGGGAGCCCUGUUCCUGCAGCAAGACAAGGACCGUCCUACUGAUACAACUGGAGAACAGUGUGGGACCCUUUGCAGCUGGAGGAGGUGGUCAUGUAGUUGUCAAAACCAGCCAGUUUACUUGCUCCUACCCAAACCGCGAGAGACCAACUACAUAAUGACAUAUUAUAGAUGGGAACGGAAUGUAUCUUCUUGCUCUGUAGGGUUUGCUCAUAGUAGCAGCAGCUGCAUUAGCAACUGCCCCGUUCAUGAAGGAGGAAAGCAUUGUCUGAGAUGGCAUGAUGGGACUUCCAAAAGCUUCAGAGAGGUUAAUGACAAAUGUCCUUCACACCCCAGCAGCCAAGUGCCUUAAGCUCCUUCUCUAGUGUUUGCUGAAAUGCAAACAAUCUUUAAGUAUGUGCAGCAGAGUCCGCAGCAGGAAGGAACUGAAAACCCUGUUUAUUACCCAGAUGCAACACAUCCUUUACAGACCAAACCAAAGAUCUGUCUCACAAAGAGUUUCCAUCUGUUCCCUCGAAUUAAUGAUUUCUAAUUAGACAAAACACAUUCUUGCCCUUCCCUGCAAAUUCAGUUUUGAUUCUAAAAAUGGAAAAUGCACUGUAGGGUGCUAUAUUUUCAUGACCCUUAUGCAAAUCUCAGGCAGCAGCAAAAGAAGAUGCGCCCCUGCUGCCAAACAGCCGUGGUGUGAUACUCCAGAGACUCAACUGAGGCCAGUGAAUUUGCUCAUUUUGACAUACCUGAGUUGUCUGACCUUUGCAAAAGGAAUGAAGUACGUCAUGAAGAAUAAAGCACAGGAGUAACUUAAGAAAGGAAAUCAUAUUGAUAGUCAAUUGACUCCUGAUAUUCUCAAUCUAGUAGUUCUGUGAGCAGAGGAAUCAAGGUGUGAAUGGAGAAGAAUGACCACUGAGAAGGGAUCUGCUCCCACUUUAAGCUGCACCACUCAGUCCAGGCUGGCGGAUUCCUGGUUGCAAGCAGCUCCUGCAGCUACACUUGUCUGUUCUGCUGAAAACUGCUGGGUUUGUACUAUUUAGCCUGCUUGAAAGAACAAAAAGAGGUGCCCAGGGAUAAUGCCUUGUGCACGCCUGCCUCCAGCAGAAAGCCUCCGAGUCCAUUUGCUAUUAUUAAUAACAGUAAUCAUCACAAUUUACAUAUGCGGCUGGCAGCCUUGGAAGGGCUCCUGUAAACAUCUCCCUUCUAUAAAUAUGGGAGUUUCUAGCAGCCGCGGCUUCUUGGUCGGGCUUCUCCGGGACCUCUCGAUCUCAGAUGCUGCUGGAUGUCUGGGAGCGGUGGGUACGGCACUGGGACACAAUGGGGGGAUGCGAUGGGGACAGACGGUGGGAUUUACUGCAUGGGACUUGGCCAAGGGAGGUGAAACUGCUUCCCUUGAGCUACCGGGCACGGCUGCCGCCGGGGAGGGGACGGGUGCUGUACGGACUGUGCUUGCUGCAGCAGCAAUUGGUGCAACAAGUGCUUUGCGCUUUCUUCUUUGCUUUCUAGCUUUCUCCUCCUUUUUUGUUAUCCCAUCUCCUGACAUAAAAUCUAAAAUACGUUGCAAAGUGAUGCAUCAAACUGUUUCUUUUAAUUAGGAGGCACUUGCUGCUUCCACUUUCUAUUUUUUUAUGCAACAGUGGAUGUACAGUCCAGGGACUGCUGAUCAUGGGUCAGGCAGUAAAACCUAAUCCCUUCUAAAUCGCUCGUUAUUACGGGUGACAAAUAGUUUACAGGAACAUUAGCUGUUCCUCUGGACUGUAACUGAAUAAGCCUGUUUGGCUGCAACCACCUUCCCUGGAAUUGUCACUUCUGGCUGAUGCGUGAUACCAAAAUUGCUCAUCGCCACAAUGAUCCGAGUAAAAUUAGACUCCAUCUUUCUUUCUCAGCACGGAUGUGGAAUUUCUUUAGUUAUCUAGGAUAAAUAUGUAUGCUAAAUUGCUAUUGAAAUAUACAGAAUAUUUGUCUCUCAUUAGAUAUCUGAAGGCCAGAAAAUAUAAUACAUAAUGUAGCCAUUUUCAAUGGAAGAUCCCAUACAUUGUCUUGUUAGCCUCAAAAUUGCUCUUUGAUUCAAGUGAAAGGAAGAAACACUGCAGGAAUGCUGGUGAAGUACAGUUGCUGAGCCCAGAUAAUUGAAAUAUAAUUUGCUAGGAACUAGUGUUUAACUUAAAAUCCAUCCGUAUGUAGAGUGCAGUAGAACCUCUCAGAAUUCUGAAGUGUUUCUGGUUGGAAAAAGAGGCCGUUGCAGGCAGGGGGAUGUAUGUAGAACCAUUGUGUGGCCACUUCUGUGGUGCAGGCGUCUGCCAUGUUCAUUCUCAGAUGGAGCUUUGCUGAUUUACAGUGGGCGAGGGUCAAAGCAUUGGAGAAACACAAGAAUAUUUCAUCAAAAUUCAUUCUCUUUGCCCGCCCAGGUUAUGAAGAUGCACUUUUGUUCAUGUGGCUGUGUGCGCACACACAGUUUACAGAGGAUGGAAAUGCUUUUUGUAACAAGUUCUGUAGGUCAAGAACACCAUUUGAGGAAAAAACAAAUACCAUAAUCCCCCCUCCUAAAUAUAUUUUCUUACAGAGUUCCUUCCUCAUUUGGAAAGUCUACAUCUGUAGUGUCAGAGAUGUAAACACAUUGUAGGCUUUUAUGGCUAUAUUACUUAAUUUCCCCCUAUUUCUUGUGGUCACUGGUGGCCAUGUGGAAGGACUGGCCACUUGCCACCUGGACCAUGUGCCCCCACGGGCUGGGCGUGAUGGCCAUGGUGCAUUUGUAGGUGGGAAGCUCUUACUGAUGCUCUGAGCUAUUUAUCUCAGCUCUACAUGCAACAGCCUAUUUUAAAUACAGAUUUAAUAUAGCUGAUAUUGGUAGGGUUGUGGAGGGAAUACAGAAUUUAAUUUGCGGUGUCAGCUCUGGUGACAGGUUCAUCUGUAAUGUUAUGAAUUAGCUGCAACAGCUUUACCUGUGGAAACAUUGCACGCACUGCUUGUCUGCCUCUUCUAAAUGUUUAAGCCAGCUCUUGUUCUCUAAAUGAAUGUGGGCUUUUUUCUUAUUAUCUCACAAAGGUACAAAACUCCAUUUCAUUUCAUGAUGCCAUUAACCGUCUGUCUGAUUUCCAUCGUGGUCUCCUGUCCCAGUAACAACCCCUUCAGAAAGGGCUGGCGCCCGGCUCCAAGCUGCAGCUUUGUUUGCUCCCCGCUUCUCUCACAACCUCUUGUGGAUUACUCAAAAGAAAAGAAGAGAAAAGACUUAUCAUUUGGUGGUAGAAGCACAAAGACACAAACAAAAUUAAUUCCUCCUAUUAAUCUGCCUUGGGAUUUGGAGAGAGAAUGGCAAAACUCACAGUGGAAACAUAGACAUGUGUUGAACAGUUUUUGUAGUGCAAUAUCCAUCUUCCAACAGCAAUAUAUUACAACCUGGCCAUGCUGACUGUCAUCCAGCAUGUUCCUUUUGCAAUGUACAAGAGAUGGUUGGAAGCUGAUUUGAGGUGUCUUGCUUUCCCUGCAACCCGAUCCCAGGGCAAGGGGCUUCAGAGGUUGACUGAGGGAGAUAACACCCCGUUAUUUCUUCCAUCCAUGAAACCCUCCAACCUCACCAAGAGCCAGUGGGAACCCAGGUCACUCAUCAGUUCUAGGGCUGCCACUUGAGCUCCCGGAGCACUAAUGGAGGCUCGUUCGGACUCUUUCACAUCUCCUCUUGCCCUGGCGAGAUGACUCACUGCGAGGACCCAGAGCUCUGCCAUAGACGUCCUUCUCUCCAGGAGGAAUUUUUCCAGGAUUGCUCCUCCUUGGAGGAGUGCCCGGUACGUAAGUGUGACCAUCCAUCACCUUUGCAUCAGUCUAUCGUUUCUCUUUCAACAUUCUUGCUUGCGUGAGCUGUUUUACUACUUGGCUUUAAUAUUUUUUCCAUUUUCCCAUCUUGGAUUUCUAGUCCAAACAAAAUCAUCGUGCCACAGAGCUGGGGCUUUCACUGUGUAAAUGAGGGUAGUUGUACUCAGGUGGCUGAAUAAGUGAUGACUCUUAAAUUAACUCCAGCAUAUUGUUAUAGGUGCUUUGUGCUAUACUCCUACUGAGUGCUUAUAGCAAUGCAGCAUGUCUGGUUUAUGGUCUUAUUGAGUCAUUUCUCUGCUGGAUUAGUCUCUGUCCUAUCAAUAAUUUCUCUAAAAAUGAGUCAGAAGAGAACAAAAUAUGAAUUAGGAGGUAAGUGUAACACAACUCUGUAAUUAUGGCCCAAAUUUUUUGUUGUAUUUCAGGUUUUUUCAUAAGAAACACGUGAUAUUCCUACUUUCUAUUCAGUAUUUUUUUUCUUUUGGAUUUGAAAGGAACAAACCACAUUUUUUCUGAAACAAUCACACCACAGAGCUCUUGGUAAACACAGUGCAUUUUGGAGGUAGGAAAUACAGCAGUAUGGCAUCUCUGCUUGGCAGCUGCAAUGCUAAACUGCAGCUCUGGAGAAUCAGGGACAUAUCAGGUGUGGAUUAACCUUAGUGCUCAAAUAUUUUGCUUAUGGAAUUCAAAACGCUGCGGUGAUUGGGAAUGGCUUCCUUUUCAGCACGGACAGCGAGGCUGCCGCUGGCUCUCUUCCCACACGUCCCCGUGCAGAAAAAUGGUCUUGACCUAUUGGGUGAGCGAGAACAGCUACAUACAAGCCUAUCUUAAAUUAAAACAAUCUAUAUGUUCUGUAAAAACUGGAAAACAGGCACACUGGUAAAUUAAAGGAGUAAGGGGGAGACAAAUGGUAAGCAGAAAUAAGUGCAGCAAGGCUUUUUAAAAAAGUGUUUUAGUAAACGAGGGAAUACUAUCUAUGGUAUUGUUACUAGAUUACUAGGUAGGAACAAUGCAGCUGUUAGUCAUGGGUAGUGAAGGCAGAAAUGUUAAACAAAUUUGUUCUGAAAAUACGUAAAGAACAAGCUAAGGGCUCUUGAUGUUGCUCGAAUGAGCUCCAGCCUCCCCAGAGAGCCCCAGAGCUGUACAAUGGAACUUCACACCCGACACUGUGCCAAUGAGUUGAGAGUCUAUGAGCAGAACUCCUGCAAACCAUGUGCACAUCGGUCAAUCACCCAUUCCUUCAUCCGUCCAUCCAUCUGUCCAUCCCAGGCAUGAUGGGGAGCAACAAAACUUUGAAAUCACGGAUUGCAAGAGGCAAAUAUUGCUGAUCUACAUGGCUUUAUAUGAGAUAGAUGCUAUCAGUCAAACUUACCCUUCAUGUAAUGUACAUUUUGAUAUUGUUUAACAUGGAAAAUAUAUAUAAGGAUGAAGAAAUCAGGUGACACCACCUCCUGGACUCUGGCCUUGGAACUUGGAUUUUGAAGGGUUUCUGUGUCACUGCAAUUGGAUCAGCUGAAGGUUGGUGUGAAGCAUGACACUGGGACCUAAAGAAAACUGGCAUCCACACGCUUUUUAAAACAGGAUAUAGAUUGAUAUGGGGCAUAGGGGUGGUGUUGCCUCUAUGUCUGCUUUGGUGAGGCUGCAGCUUGAACAUCGUGUCCCAUUCUAACAGCCCAAAUGUAAAAAAAGACAAUGAGUUGGCAAAAGUUCAGAUAAGUGCUGUAAGCACAAUUUCACUACCAAAACCCUGUCUUUUGGUUAAUUGAAAGGAAGUCCAGGGCUUAGAGUUUUUAAGUCUCAUACAUUAAGUGGAAACCGGUAAUGUAGAGCCUAUCAAUCACUGUAGAAAAAAGAGAAAGAAGAAAGAAAUCCAUGAGUGACUUGAGGUAUAUUCAACAAAAAUUGUGAUUUCUGAACCUUGAGGAUAAGGAGCCUUUGGAAUGGUCGUGCUGAAUCUCCAUAGAUUGGGAGAAAAAUCGAACUCCAUAUUUUAUAGUUUUCUAGACACAAUCUAAUUAAAAAUCAAAGAAAUAAGGGAAGACUGACUGGUGGAACUGGUCUCUCCAUGGUACCUGAAUAUAGGUUAUCAUGUUCGAUAGUUCUAUUCUAGUACUCACCUACACAGGGGUUCUUGCCUCCAACAAGGAGUUUACUGCUCCUUGGCAACAACUUUUCAAGAUUCCUAGGCUUGUUAAAGUACAAAUCAGAGCUACUUACUUCUGCAUGCACCAAUUGUGGAUUGGUGUCUUCCAGACAAGAUGAAGAAGCACUUUUUAUUUUGUUAACAGGUAAAAUCUGUCACUGCUUCUUUCUGCUCCCCAAGCAAUCUUCGCCUGGCUCAUGUUUCCCAGGUGUUGCUAACAGGCAGCAAUGGCCCUGGGGGAUGUUCCAACACAAAUGAACUCUGCUGAUGAAGCGAGUCAACCACCCAGCGCUUUUCUUUGGAGCAUCCUUCCUCAGCGACGUACUGGGAAACAAAUGAGAACAUCCAGUUGUGUCCAUACCCACUAGUGCUUGUGAUUUAUAAGCAGGAAAAGAGCUCAUGCAGCUGGAGGAUGUGAUGAGGCUUCCAGCAUCUCCAAUGAGUAGUGAGUGAGGAGAAGGAUGCACCAUUGCAGGGAUGGAGGAAGGACAGGAAUGCUCCUCCAUGCUCAGAGUCAUUGUCAGUGCUGCAUUAAUUUCUUCCCCUGUGCCCAUCCUUGUUUCUAAGUAAAUUACUGCGAGGUAAUUGAUCUCUUUGAACUUUUCCUAAAUAGCAAAUAACUCAUGAAAAGUCUCUGCUGUGAAGAAAAGGCAGAAUUAAAUAAGAAACUAUUCUUUUCCAUCCUAUAGUUGGUGUAUAACACAACGCAGGUCAUGACCCGUUAUUUUCCCAGCUGCUGCGGAUGGAUCAUGGGGAAACUGGCAGUUUGUAGUCAAGGUGUCUGAGGUCAGAUCUUAGGAAAAAUUAUUUGUGAUGGGAAAAUCUGGGAUGGGUUAUCCGGGGAAACGGUGGAACCUUCCUUUCUGGAAGCUUUCCAGCAUUAAGGCAGUACCUGCCCUGGGCACUUUUGAUAUGCUGCAUCCUGGCCCUGCAAUGAGAAAUACUGCUUGCUGGAAGUUCUGACCUCCCAUUGCCAUGCUCUCCUAUUUUCAAAUCUUCUGGAAGCACUGAAUCUCCUACUUUAUUAUUAAAUUGAUCAUUGUUUCCCUGAUGGAGCGCUGUGUUACACACGUGCUGUGGUGAAACCUCUUUCCCGGUGUGUGGUCAGCAGCAUCCAUGGAGCAAAGAUGAGGAUGAGUAUGCUGUGGCUCCAAGGGAGGGGACAGCUCUGACAGAUGGUGCCUUGAACUGUUUCGUGGUGUUGUACAUUCUGGACAUGUGGGGGUUGUUAGAAUUCAUCUGGAAUUUUGACAUAAAAAGCUAAGAACAAAUGAAGCAGUAUUCUGCUGUCUGGGAACUGUGCAGGGUCCAGCACCCGCUGAUUGCCUCUCACCCCAGCUCCCUUGCUAGAGUGGGGGCUAUUGAUCCUGCUUCGACUGAUUAACAGCAGGACAAAGGAUUUCAGGGCUUUUAUCUCCAAGCACUAGCUUGAAUCAAUGGCAGUUCACAUUUUCCAGGAGGCUGGGUAUCUUGCUAAAACCCCUCUUUUCAAUCAGAGGAAUGAAUCUUUGCAAUGCUGCUGAGAAACAAAACAAGCUGUUGUCUCCUUGUCCUGUUGGACAGCAAAGCCAGGACCAAGUCAUAAGCCCUGGAGAUUCGGUAUGUGGGACCGAGCCGUGGAAGCGCUGGGAUGUCAACAUCACUGCACAGUGCAGGCCUUUAAUGAAAAUUAAAAAUAGUACAGUGCUUUAAACGCUCCCGGACCUUAGUUGGCAAAUGACAGAAUGUCAAUACUUGGCAGCAAUCUUCUAUUAAAAGUGUUUUUACAGUCUAACUUUGCUCUUUCCACGGCGACGGUUGAAGUUCCACAGGUACGGUCUGUGCCACGGCAGCGCUCGCCAGCACUGAGACACCUCAGGUAGAAUCUGGGAAAUGGUGAUUUUCUUCCCAGAUCCACCCUUGUGUGACCUGGGGACUGAGCGUGGGGCUGCAAUUUAACCGUUGGAUAAAUAGGGUCUAUUCAAAUCAUGGCAUGUAGUCAGGAGCUGAAGUCUUGCCCGUGUCUCACAGAGCCCCAGAUCUACUGAGUCCCUCAAGUCCCUCGUGAGGUCUCAUACUUCUCAUCCCUCUUCCAGGCAAUGAGCUGCUGUUCCACAUCUCUUGCCAAGUGCUGAACCCCAGCGUUUAAUCACAUUAAUUAAGCCCUCCCGCUGUACAGCCCCGGUGCAGCACAAUGGAGCUCCCUAGAAGCCUUUAGCUUUUAUUAUAGCUCAAGUUAACAAUAUUUUCCCUAAAGCCUGCUUUUAAUUUAUGUAUGUAUUUUCAUAUCCUAUCCAAGAUACAAGAAAUGUUAGGUGUCAUUAGCUAAGAUCUGCUGUGCUCCAUUUUCCAAUAACACUAGUUUUUUUCCUAAGGUAAUUCAUUUCUCACUCAAAGAAUAUCCCGUGGAUAUGCUUUGUUCAAGUUCAAGAUGUUAUUCAUGUAUAAAAAUGGUCACGGUGUACCAUUUGAAAAGGAGGAAAAGUGAUAGCAAGUACAUGGAGUGUGCAAAGAACAAAAUUACUUCAGGGAAUGUGUGGUUUCCUCUCUUCUAAUACAGCAAGGAGGUUUUCCCCCAGUGAAAAUCAAGGAACUGGCAUUACGGAGUAUUUGUGGAUGGGAUUAAUACUGGUACAAGCGCAUUCAGGCUGGACAUGAGGAGGGAAUUGUUGCCCUGAGGGUGGUGAGAGCCUGGCCCAGGUUGGCCAGAGAGGUGGUAGAUGAACCAUCCCUGGAGACAUCCCAGGCCAGGCUGGACGGGGCUCUGAGCAACCUGAGCUGGUGAAGAUGUCCCUGCUCAUGGCAGGGGGGCACUGGGGGAGCUGGGGAGGUCCCUUCAACACAAACCAUCUGUGAUUCUAUGAUUUCUCUGCAAAUGAAUGAGUAUCAGCCCAGCCUUUUGCCCCGUAUAAUGAUGUGAGACAAAGGGGUGGUUUUGUAUGAUGGCAACAUAGGCUCAUCGGGGAGGAAAAGCUCCAAAUAAUCUCAGUGAUCUCCUCUGCCACAAACACGUGCUCUUCAGCAGCUUGAAAUGUAUAUUUCAUAAAGAGAUACACAACUUUCAUUAACCACAUAGGGAUUUUAAUGAAAGUUUGAAUGGAUUUGUGAAACACUGAAUAUACAUUUUGAAAGCUUUGAGUGGCAGUUCCAUUACACACACACGUGCCCUGAUGGGCAGCAGGAUUUGAAACGUCUCCCUUGCUGUCAAACAGCCAGCGGGUUCUGCAGGGGAGGGAAUCAAAGAAAACUGCAUUUUUUUUUUAAAUCUGCUACCCAAAAUUACCAGGUAUUCAGUCAGCUUGUUUUCUUUAACUUCUGAGUAGUUCUUACUUGUAAUUAAUAUUUACAGCAUGAUUGGCACUUCUCAUUCCCGUGGUUUCAGUGAUACACAGUGAUUAGCUUAGGCAGGGAAUUUCAUCAGGCAGCAAUGGGGAGUUUGUGUUAAAGAACCAGGUCCAGCUUCUUGGGAAUGCAGCAAUAUCCUACAGGGAAUAUAUUGUCAAUUUAGAGUGACAGCUGUAAAUAAAAGAAUUGUUACAUCUUCCUUAUAGAGAUUAUUCCACAGCCUAACAUCUCUCAUUUUCAAGCCUUUCCUCCAAACCAGCAGCAUUGCUCUCCUGCACUCUGGCCUCUCCCAGCCCAUCUUCACUGGACACAACUCAUCUCCAAAAUAUUUUCUGCCCCAUCAGUUUAUCUUGUAGAUGUGUGUCACACAUUUUGCACUCUUGUUGCCAUUUCUUUCCUAGACUACAUGUUUUUAAUGUGUAUGUAUUUCUUUGUAAGUUUUUCCAGAUACAAGGUGAUUUUUCUCGCUCUUCCUCUCAUUUUCCAAUUUGUUGGGAGCGUCUGAGCAGGAUUUAGACACCAGCUUUUGUUAUCCAGGAACUAACCAGAGUGGGGGCUACCUGUUCAUAAUUUAUUUAAUGGCACAUUCACCAAUACAGCACACACAGACAAAAAGGGGAUUUUAUGCGCAUUUACAUUUUUCACACAGUAAAGUCAUCUCUACCUUUCUAUUCAGCCCAAUGUCUGUGGCUGAACCCUUGUGCUCAUCCCUUCAGCUCCUGGAGCUGAGGGAGGACUCGGUCCUUGCUUUGCCCACAAGGUGGUGAGGCCAAAGACAUUGGAGAAUCACAGAAUCAUUUUGGUCGGAAGAGAACCUCAAUGUCAUCGAGUUCAACUGUUAACCCAACGCUAGCACUGCCCUGUGUCCCUGAGAACCUCAUGUCCGUCUGUCCAGCCCUCCAGGGAUGGUGACUCCAGCACUGCCCUGGGCAGCCUGUUCCAAUGCCCCACAGCCCUUUGGGGAAGAAAUUGUUCACAGAUCCAACCUCAACCUUCUCCUUCAUCUCUGCUCAGUCUCCUUGGACGUGGUGGAUGGUUUUGCUGUGGCUGCUGCAGGUUUGAUGGGCCGAUAUGUUCGUACAACCUCCCUGGAGGCACUUCUAAAAUAGAAGCAAGUGUGGGGGGGAAAAUCCUAACCUGAUUAUGAUAGAAUAAAGGACAUAAAAGUGAUAUAUUGCUUUGUGUAUUUUUCAUAUCAUGUGCUCAUGACACUGUUUUUCCAUGUGCUAAAAAUACGUUCUGUAACUGCAGAAUGGGUCCCAAGCUGCUGGUGGCCAAAUUGAUGGAUACGCUUAGUUCUGAGGAGCUCAGGCUUCCUUUGGUUUCUUUCUUCAGUGAUUGUGUCUGCUCUGCCCUCAUAAAAAGAAAAUAUCUAAUUUUUGGCAUUGAAAAAGAAAGAUGUCCCCUAAAAGAAAGCAGCUUCCUACACAUAUACCACAGAGAAGAUGAAUUGCAUGGUCACCAAUGUCUCUUGGCCUAGAUUUAAAUUCAGUGAAGGAGGAAAGGGAGGUGUUAAAGUUUUGCAUGUGAGUGUGUGUGCUGCUUUGGGACGAGAGGCAAACAAAGCCUUAAUGCAAACAGGUGCUCUUAACAACUUUAAAAAUAGUUUCUGUAACACAGCUGUCUGCCUCCUGUGUUUGCAACAGACAUUUGCUGGCUCGGGGUGGCUGUGCGGGGCAGCAGGGAGGCUCUGCCCAUGCAUGGAGGAUGAUGAUGUUCUGGGGGGUUCAGAGCCUGGACCAGCAGCAUUGCGGCUGCAUCCCAUGGCAGCGAGGGGCUGAGGCUUCCCAGAGCACGGACCCUGCAACCCCUUUGUGUUCUUUCCCUACCUGUGUGAGCUGCUGCCCUCAUCUUCCCUACAAACAUCCACCCCUUUCCUGAAAUCUGCCAAUUUCCCCGGCUUUCCCAGGUUAACCACACAUUUUUUUAACUUUUAAAAACCAAGUUUUCCUUUGCAUUAAGUUUAUUACUCCUCAGUGCCAUCCGUAGUGCUUUCCCCCUGUAUUUUGUACACUUCCCACCGCCUGCUGGCUUCUGUCUCUGCUUUUUUCUCUGUCUUGCAGUCAAGAAGCCGGUGUCCCCGUGCCAGUGACCGUGCAGUGGAGACGGGAGCGGCACCACGGGCGGAACGGGCUGGGAGAAAAUCUGGCUGCCAGCCCCCAGCAAGCAGCAGCUAUCACCUGCUGGUGGGCAGCUAACAGAACAUUAGAUCUUUGGACAGCAAGUUUAAGCCUUAAUUAUAGUGAGGACACCGCUGUUCCAUAAUAUAAAAGAAUUGAAUGACUCGAUGUCCCUCGGGACUCCUUCAGCUUUACCGGUUAGACAGCCCCCGUCAUGGUUUGCUGAAAUCAAUGACCGUGGCGUAAUCCAUCCAUGCACACAAACGGGGCUGUCGAGGGAGGAGGAGCGCUUCUAAUGACUCAUUCUGUAACAGUAAUUAAUAUGGGCUGUGUGUUAAAGUGGGCUGCCUGACUGAAUGUG